Molecule: ribosomal RNA, 505 nt
Filed under: Acanthiops spinosum
Lineage: Eukaryota; Metazoa; Arthropoda; Insecta; Ephemeroptera; Baetidae
Description: partial 16S ribosomal RNA
Rfam family: Bacterial large subunit ribosomal RNA
Source: RNAcentral
CAUCGUUUAAAGUAAUUUUUUUAAAUAAUGCCUGCCCAAUGAAAAUUUAAUGGCCGCAGUAUUCUGACUGUGCAAAGGUAGCAUAAUCAUUUGUCUUCUAAUUAAAGGCUAGUAUGAAUGGCAACACGGGGUGGUGACUUUCCCAUAAAUGAAGGUAAAAUUUAAUUUGUUAGUCAAAAAGCUGACAUAUCAACGCAGGACGAGAAGACCCCGUAGAUCUUAAUAUAUUUAACACACUCGGUGUAGGCCAACACAAGGUGUGGUGUUGUUAUAUUUAGUUGGGGCGACCUGAAGUUAAUAAACACUUUAACCCGCAACUCUUUUAAAUGAUUAAUUGACCCGGCAGCCGAUAUAAGAUAAAGUUACCUUGGGGAUAACAGCGUAAUCUAGUUUUAGAGUUCUUAUCAAAAAUUAGGGUUGCGACCUCGAUGUUGGAUUAAGAUUCAGUCUAAAUGUAGCCGUUUAGCCCUGGGGUCUGUUCGACCUUUAAAAUCUUACAUGAUCU